CAGCUUGCAGCUUCCUGAAAUGUCAGGGUGUUGCUCUGCAUGGGCUGAAGCCUUCUGGAAUUGUUUGGUGUCGCUGGGUAUUGUGGCCAUCUUAACUGCAACAAAGCAGGUCGACGUGAAGCAUUAAUAGAUUAUUUCAAGGCAGCUGCAAAUCCAUCACAACAAGAGAGAAAGUGGAAAGAGGGGAAUGGAAAAAUUGGGUGAUGUCCUCAAGGUCAUAAGCAGAGCAUGAGGAAAAGAUGCCAUUUUUACCUGGAGAAUUGAAGAACUGGACUGAAAGGGCAAAUAAACACUUCGAAACAUCCUGAACUGGAAUGUGCCCAGUACAGCAUGUCGUGUCUCAGGUGACA
Passer montanus (Eurasian tree sparrow) is the source of this 350-nucleotide long non-coding RNA. RefSeq lists it as uncharacterized. NCBI's taxonomy places the organism in Eukaryota, Metazoa, Chordata, Aves, Passeriformes, Passeridae. The record is from RefSeq and is a predicted model, not a curated record. The transcript is spliced from 3 exons.